AACGAACGCUGGCGGCAUGCCUAACACAUGCAAGUCGAACGAGACCUUCGGGUCUAGUGGCGCACGGGUGCGUAACGCGUGGGAACCUGCCCUUAGGUUCGGAAUAACUCCCCGAAAGGGGUGCUAAUACCGGAUAAUGUCUUCGGACCAAAGAUUUAUCGCCUUUGGAUGGGCCCGCGUUGGAUUAGCUAGUUGGUAGGGUAAAAGCCUACCACGGCGACGAUCCAUAGCUGGUUUGAGAGGAUGAUCAGCCACACUGGGACUGAGGCACGGCCCAGACUCCUACGGGAGGCAGCAGUGGGGAAUAUUGGACAAUGGGCGAAAGCCUGAUCCAGCAAUGCCGCGUGAGUGAUGAAGGCCUUAGGGUUGUAAAGCUCUUUUACCCGGGAUGAUAAUGACAGUACCGGGAGAAUAAGCUCCGGCUAACUCCGUG
This 433-nucleotide ribosomal RNA is filed under the name uncultured bacterium. Its description in RNAcentral is "partial 16S ribosomal RNA". It matches the Rfam family "Bacterial small subunit ribosomal RNA", at positions 29 to 507 of the family's 1533-position model. The record is from RNAcentral.